Molecule: ribosomal RNA, 910 nt
Filed under: uncultured bacterium
Lineage: Bacteria
Description: bacterial SSU rRNA
Rfam family: Bacterial small subunit ribosomal RNA
Source: RNAcentral
AGAGUUUGAUCAUGGCUCAGGAUGAACGCUAGCGGCAGGCCUAACACAUGCAAGUCGAGGGGCAGCAUAUCGCUUCGGUGAUGAUGGCGACCGGCGCACGGGUGAGUAUCGCGUUUGUAACCUACCCUUAACUGGGGAAUAGCCCGAAGAAAUUCGGAUUAAUACCCCAUAAUAUUUAAGCAAGGCAUCUUGCUUUCAUUAAAGCUCCGGCGGUUAAGGAUGGGCAUGCGUGACAUUAGUUUGUUGGUAAGGUAACGGCUUACCAAGACUACGAUGUCUAGGGGGUCUGAGAGGAUGAUCCCCCACACUGGUACUGAGACACGGACCAGACUCCUACGGGAGGCAGCAGUGAGGAAUAUUGGUCAAUGGACGCAAGUCUGAACCAGCCAUGCCGCGUGCAGGAUGACGGCUCUAUGAGUUGUAAACUGCUUUUAUAUAGGAAGAAACCCUUCUACGUGUAGAAGGUUGACGGUACUGUAAGAAUAAGCAUCGGCUAACUCCGUGCCAGCAGCCGCGGUAAUACGGAGGAUGCAAGCGUUAUCCGGAUUCAUUGGGUUUAAAGGGUGCGUAGGCGGGGCAAUCAGUCAGUGGUGAAAUCCUGCGGCUUAACCGUAGAACUGCCAUUGAUACUGUUGCCCUUGAGUAUAGUUGAAGUGGGCGGAAUAUGUAAUGUAGCGGUGAAAUGCAUAGAUAUUACAUAGAACACCGAUUGCGAAGGCAGCUCACUAAGCUAUCACUGACGCUGAGGCACGAAAGCGUGGGGAGCGAACAGGAUUAGAUACCCUGGUAGUCCACGCCGUAAACUAUGAUCACUCGUUGUUGGCAAUACAUCGUCAGCGACUGAGCGAAAGCAUUAAGUGAUCCACCUGGGGAGUACGGUCGCAAGAUUGAAACUCAAAGGAAUUGACGG